UAAACGACUCUCGGCAACGGAUAUCUCGGCUUUCGCAUCGAUGAAGAACGUAGCGAAAUGCGAUACUUGGUCUGAAUUGUAGAAUCCCGUGAACCAUCAAGUCUUUGAAAGCAAGUUGCGCCCGAAGCCAUUAGGUUGAGGGCACGUCUGCCUGGGCAUUUCAC
This 164-nucleotide ribosomal RNA is filed under the name Camellia hongkongensis. Its description in RNAcentral is "5.8S ribosomal RNA". It matches the Rfam family "5.8S ribosomal RNA". Rfam says of the family: 5.8S ribosomal RNA (5.8S rRNA) is a component of the large subunit of the eukaryotic ribosome. The record is from RNAcentral. Lineage: Eukaryota; Viridiplantae; Streptophyta; Magnoliopsida; Ericales; Theaceae.